AACGAACGCUGGCGGCAGGCCUAACACAUGCAAGUCGAGCGAGGACUUCGGUCCUAGCGGCGGACGGGUGAGUAACGCGUGGGAACGUGCCCUUUGCUUCGGAAUAGCCCUGGGAGACUGGGAGUAAUACCGGAUGAGCCCUUUGGGGGAAAGAUUUAUCGGCGAAGGAUCGGCCCGCGUUGGAUUAGGUAGUUGGUGGGGUAAUGGCCUACCAAGCCGACGAUCCAUAGCUGGUUUGAGAGGAUGAUCAGCCACACUGGGACUGAGACACGGCCCAGACUCCUACGGGAGGCAGCAGUGGGGAAUCUUAGACAAUGGGGGAAACCCUGAUCUAGCCAUGCCGCGUGAGCGAUGAAGGCCUUAGGGUUGUAAAGCUCUUUCAGCUGGGAAGAUAAUGACGGUACCAGCAGAAGAAGCCCCGGCUAACUCCGUG
This 433-nucleotide ribosomal RNA is filed under the name uncultured bacterium. Its description in RNAcentral is "partial 16S ribosomal RNA". It matches the Rfam family "Bacterial small subunit ribosomal RNA", at positions 29 to 507 of the family's 1533-position model. The record is from RNAcentral.